Molecule: long non-coding RNA, 652 nt
Filed under: Struthio camelus australis
Lineage: Eukaryota; Metazoa; Chordata; Aves; Struthioniformes; Struthionidae
Description: lncRNA (ENSSCUG00000009299.1)
Source: RNAcentral
CCCAGCUGCCCUUUCCCUGUCACUGCUGAGACUGGAGAACUCCCAAAGGAGUCAGUCCUUGCUGCUGGUGGGACAUCUUGCUCCGUUCAAGUAUUGCUUGGGCCCUAUCCUAGGGGACAAGGUCAGCAUCCAGGACCUGGACUCCAUCCUGGGCACCAUGGGGAUCCACCUGACCAGUGAGGAGCUGCAGGAAGCCUUAGGACACACGGCAGGUAGGGCUCAUGGGAAGGUGAAUUUGAGUGAAUUCAUGAAGGCAGAGAAGACGGUCCAGAAACCACCCCUGGGGAAAGAGGACAAAGUUGAUGUCAGUAAUGUGGGCUCCAUACUGGCCACCAUGGGGAUCCAUUUAACCCCAGAGGAGCUGCAAGAGGCAUGGAAACAUGUCCCAGUGGAUGAAGGUGGUGAUGUUAGCCUGAGUGCAUACCUGAGCAUGAUGAACACACGGAGACCAUCACAGGCUGAAAGGAACCGGGUGGAUAUCCGGAGCCUGGACACCAUCCUGGGCAGUGUGGGGAUCCACCUUACCAAUGAAGAGAUGCAAGAAGUGCUGGAGCAUGUAACAGUGGAUUGUGAGUGCUGCAGGUCUUGCCAUCCUCUCUGCAGCUGCUCUGGCAGGGUGAGCUCUGAGCCUACGCUGUUCUCUUGCAGCUGA